Molecule: RNA transcript, 945 nt
Organism: Dreissena polymorpha
Lineage: Eukaryota; Metazoa; Mollusca; Bivalvia; Myida; Dreissenidae
Exons: 5
Source: RefSeq, a predicted model, not a curated record
UAUCAUUCAGCACGAUUUGCGGGAAAGCAGUCAUCCAUAUUGGUCGAAGCAGUUGUUCUUCACUUUUAUUCUGUUUUCUAUAAAGUCACAGCACUGGGCAUCAUCUGCAGUCAAGACUGGGGUCAUAAGCUGUCAUAGGAGGCCAAUCCACAAUUGGGCUUUGACAACUUUGCGACGCCUUUGUGAUUUCUCUGAGACGCUUUAAAUAAGCUGUUUAUCAUAGUUAUUUCCAGAGAUUGUAUUACAAUUAUGUAAUCAUUAAAAGUUAUAGUGUUGAGGGAAAACUAAAUUAAAUGGACAUGUAAUGAACCCAGCUUGUGUGUUGUCUGUUUAUAUUCAUUUUUAUAAUAUAAGGAACACAAUUACAAGCCACAAAUGGCGCCCAACGUGGUUAUAUUUUAGAUUUCUCUCAUUUAAGAACUGAACAUUAAUUUAAAAAAAUAAAAUAAAUGAGUAUUGAUGAUUGUUAAAGAUUGUGGAAAAUCUUUGGUUGUAUGGAGGACGUACAGCUUAUUCGGUAGCCAGUGGUCGGAGCAGUUGGCGUGUGCAGUGGAGCAAUCCAGGUGGCAUUCUGAGCGAUCCUUGGGAGCAACGCGCGAUUAUUUGUUGGGAGCGACGAGCGAUCUUUAGGAGCGAGUAGAACAUCAGUGCCUGCAAAGUGACUGGAGCGUGUGACAUUGACAUUACCGUGUGAUUGAGAAAAACACAUUUGUAUUUUCACAGCACUGGGCAUCAUCUGCAGUCAAGACUGGGGUCAUAAGCUGUCAUAGGAGGCCAAUCCACAAUUGGGCUUUGACAACUUUGCGACGCCUUUGUGAUUUCUCUGAGACGCUUUAAAUAAGCUGUUUAUCAUAGUUAUUUCCAGAGAUUGUAUUACAAUUAUGUAAUCAUUAAAAGUUAUAGUGUUGAGGGAAAACUAAAUUAAAUGGACAUGUAAUGAACCCA